CGUGAGGAGCGCAGCCCUUUGGACUC
This 26-nucleotide non-coding RNA is filed under the name Cricetulus griseus (Chinese hamster). The record is from RNAcentral. Lineage: Eukaryota; Metazoa; Chordata; Mammalia; Rodentia; Cricetidae.